CUGACAGCGAGGAGGUUUUAACCCAGUCACACAGUAUAGUGGAGAGGGAAGGGUCUCUCAGUCACCCUCAGACUGACAGCGAGGAGGUUUUAACCCAGUCACACAGUAUAGUGGAGAGGGAAGGGUCUCUCAGUCACCCUCAGACUGACAGCGAGGAGGUUUUAACCCAGUCACACAGUAUAGUGGAGAGGGAAGGGUCUCUCAGUCACCCUCAGACUGACAGCGAGGAGGUUUUAACCCAGUCACACAGUAUAGUGGAGAGGGAAGAGUCUCUCAGUCACCCUCACACUGACAGCGAGGAGGUUUUAACCCAGUCACACAGUAUAGUGGAGAGGGAAGAGUCUCUCAGUCACCCCCAGACUGACAGCGAGGAGGUUUUAACCCAGUCACACAGUAUAGUGGAGAGGGAAGGGUCUCUCAGUCACCCUCAGACUGACAGCGAGGAGGUUUUAACCCAGUCACACAGUAUAGUGGAGAGGGAAGAGUCUCUCAGUCACCCUCACACUGACA
This is a long non-coding RNA of Oncorhynchus tshawytscha (Chinook salmon), 510 nucleotides long. NCBI's taxonomy places the organism in Eukaryota, Metazoa, Chordata, Actinopteri, Salmoniformes, Salmonidae. The record is from Ensembl.